RNAcentral lists this ribosomal RNA (301 nucleotides) under Shigella flexneri. Its description in RNAcentral is "partial 16S ribosomal RNA". It matches the Rfam family "Bacterial small subunit ribosomal RNA", at positions 1 to 299 of the family's 1533-position model. The record is from RNAcentral. Lineage: Bacteria; Pseudomonadati; Pseudomonadota; Gammaproteobacteria; Enterobacterales; Enterobacteriaceae.
AAAUUGAAGAGUUUGAUCAUGGCUCAGAUUGAACGCUGGCGGCAGGCCUAACACAUGCAAGUCGAACGGUAACAGGAAGCGCUUGCUGCUUCGCUGACGAGUGGCGGACGGGUGAGUAAUGUCUGGGAAACUGCCUGAUGGAGGGGGAUAACUACUGGAAACGGUAGCUAAUACCGCAUAACGUCGCAAGACCAAAGAGGGGGACCUUCGGGCCUCUUGCCAUCGGAUGUGCCCAGAUGGGAUUAGCUUGUUGGUGGGGUAACGGCUCACCAAGGCGACGAUCCCUAGCUGGUCUGAGAGG